Molecule: non-coding RNA, 393 nt
Organism: Pelobates cultripes (western spadefoot toad)
Lineage: Eukaryota; Metazoa; Chordata; Amphibia; Anura; Pelobatidae
Source: the annotation of a GenBank genome assembly
AAAGAAGGUGUAGCGGUGUUUCACUACCUGGACGACAUCCUGGUAGUGGCUCCGGACCUAGCAUCAAUAUUCCAACACAGGCAAUUAGUCCUCAACACUCUAUCUCAUUUCGGUUGGCUCAUCAAUUACGAGAAGAGUCACUUGCAUCCUUCAAGAGAACUGAUAUUCCUGGGAGCAAAUUUCAAUACAGACACAGCGAUUGUAUCCCUCUCACACAACAGAAAGAUCAGACUUCGAGAUCGGAUAAGGGACUUCAGACUAAAGACUUCAGCCUCGGCAAGAGAGUUUAUGAGACUUCUGGGGACUCUUUCCUCUACGAUAGAACUUGUCAGAUGGGCUCAGUGGAACCUUCGCCCUCUUCAACAAUUUUUCCUAAAAAAUUUCAGGACCGAC